UUAGCGGUGAGAACCAAGCCCUCCAACCCUGGAGGCCCCAGGCCUGAGGAUCUGUGGCAGAGGCUCCGUCUCAGGUUGCCCCUACAGCACCUACACUGAGGCUCAGGAACGGAUCCUCCGCCUCCCAAGGUCCUCGGGAGCCCCUUCAGGGCCGGGCGCCCUGUUCCAUUUGUUGGUGCUGGCUCCUCACGGCAAACCUGUUGACGUGCACAGGUUGCGUGAGCAGCACAAACAGCUGCUUUCUGCUCCAGUUCAGAAUCCUGAGGACCCUGAGCUUGAUGUCAGCUGUGAGAACUGGAGGGAAUAUGGGAGAAGGACGAGGAAGAAACAGAAGUGCAGCAAGAGAGAAU
Molecule: long non-coding RNA, 350 nt
Organism: Manis pentadactyla (Chinese pangolin)
Lineage: Eukaryota; Metazoa; Chordata; Mammalia; Pholidota; Manidae
Exons: 3
Source: RefSeq, a predicted model, not a curated record